ACCACUCCUCCUCUCUCUCUCUCUCUCUCUCUCUCUGUCUCUCUCUCUGUGUCUCCCUCUUCGGGUGACCCAUUGUCUCCCACAUUCAAUCACCAACAAAUUCUCAUUUCAAUCUAUUCCCUCGAUAAUGACCACAGCUAAUUAAGUCCUCCUUCCACUUGUAAUCUCUCAUCCCCUUGACCCCCACUCUAAAAAACCCACAGUGCUCUUGGUCAAUUUUGCUAGUUUUCGUUCUGUUCGAGGUUUUGGUCUUUUUGUGUUCCAAAUCAUCCU
This is a non-coding RNA of Prunus avium (sweet cherry), 273 nucleotides long. Lineage: Eukaryota; Viridiplantae; Streptophyta; Magnoliopsida; Rosales; Rosaceae. The record is from RefSeq and is a predicted model, not a curated record.